Long non-coding RNA from Bombyx mori (domestic silkworm), 694 nucleotides. RefSeq lists it as uncharacterized. The record is from RefSeq and is a predicted model, not a curated record. The transcript has 3 exons. NCBI's taxonomy places the organism in Eukaryota, Metazoa, Arthropoda, Insecta, Lepidoptera, Bombycidae.
AACAUACACAUCAUAUUAAGUGUACUAGUGGCCCCGCAGUAGUCGAAAUUCGACUAUGAUUAAUUGGAAUUAAUAAUGGCCAAACACAAGUUACAAGUGUGGAGUUGUACUGAGAGGUGCUUAUAAGAAACGGGAUGUACUCAACAUUAUUGCAAGCCGAAUGUUGAAGUACUUAAAGCACAUAAUAAUAAGUCCUAAGAAAUAUGAACUCCUAAAUAAUACAAGAUAAAGAGUCAGAAAACAGAAGUGUAGGAAAAAGAAGACAAUCGUGCCCGUAAAAUCAACGUCAAAGAUUUAGCAAAAGCACUCAUUCUUUGUUUAGAAUUGUUAUUUGUAAAGUCCAAGUCGUUUUGAUUAUCCUCCCAUUGCUAACUUUCGUUAGAGCACUUCACUUGAAGAAGAAAAUAACGAUCGUGUCAUAUAGUGAUAUAGUCUACACGAUAUCCAACGAAAGCAUUGAAAAUUAAAUGUUUAAUGUAACAACUAAAUAUUCGAGGGAUCGUGAUCAAAUUGAUCCCUAACGCUCCGGCCGAUUAUUGCCCACCUCGCCGGAGUGUGUCCUGCCGUCUUCCCAGGCGUGGCAGUGUUUAAUACACUAUAAUAAUAAAUUUUUAUUUCAGAAUUAAAUUCCAUAUGAAGUGUUAGUAAUACAAAAUCUUAAAGUGUUAGUAAUACAAAGUCUUUCUUAAAAAAA